This 452-nucleotide ribosomal RNA is filed under the name uncultured Bifidobacterium sp. RNAcentral's name for it is "bacterial SSU rRNA". It matches the Rfam family "Bacterial small subunit ribosomal RNA", at positions 173 to 640 of the family's 1533-position model. Lineage: Bacteria; Bacillati; Actinomycetota; Actinomycetes; Bifidobacteriales; Bifidobacteriaceae. The record is from RNAcentral.
UUCCACAUGAUCGCAUGAGAUUGUGGGAAAGAUUCUAUCGGCGUGGGAUGGGGUCGCGUCCUAUCAGCUUGUUGGUGAGGUAACGGCUCACCAAGGCUUCGACGGGUAGCCGGCCUGAGAGGGCGACCGGCCACAUUGGGACUGAGAUACGGCCCAGACUCCUACGGGAGGCAGCAGUGGGGAAUAUUGCACAAUGGGCGCAAGCCUGAUGCAGCGACGCCGCGUGAGGGAUGGAGGCCUUCGGGUUGUAAACCUCUUUUGUUUGGGAGCAAGCCUUCGGGUGAGUGUACCUUUCGAAUAAGCGCCGGCUAACUACGUGCCAGCAGCCGCGGUAAUACGUAGGGCGCAAGCGUUAUCCGGAUUUAUUGGGCGUAAAGGGCGCGUAGGCGGCUCGUCGCGUCCGGUGUGAAAGUCCAUCGCUUAACGGUGGAUCUGCGCCGGGUACGGGCGGG